This 253-nucleotide ribosomal RNA is filed under the name uncultured bacterium. RNAcentral's name for it is "partial 16S ribosomal RNA". It matches the Rfam family "Bacterial small subunit ribosomal RNA", at positions 524 to 776 of the family's 1533-position model. The record is from RNAcentral.
UACGGGGGGUGCGAGCGUUGUCCGGAAUCACUGGGCGUAAAGGGCGCGUAGGUGGUUUGAUAAGGGUGUGGUGAAAGCCCGGGGCUCAACCCCGGGUCUGCCGUGCCGACUGUCAAACUCGAGGGCUGUAGAGGCAGACGGAAUUCCGGGUGUAGCGGUGGAAUGCGUAGAGAUCCGGAGGAAGACCGGUGGCGAAGGCGGUCUGCUGGGCAGUUUCUGACACUGAGGCGCGACAGCGUGGGGAGCAAACAGG